AGCAUUAGGGGAGCCCACGGCUACAAAACAAGUGAGAAGAGGUGGGAGAAAGAGAAACUACGCCACCUCCUCUGCAGCCGAGCGCACGCAGCAGCCUGGUGUGACAAGUGGGCGACGCCGGGGGCAGGGAGUGGGGGUCCUCCGCCCGCUCCGGGGACCUUGUCGCCCACCGUGCGCAGAGCAACUUUUAACCGGCAGCCCCGCACCUGUCUCAGAGAGUCCCCAUCGCUCCCCACCAACCACCAUGGGAAAAUUCUAGAAGAAUACGCUCUCAGAAUCUACGUGCGCAUCAUUUUCCUCCUCGCUCCAGAGGAAGGAACCAGAAAAGAGGGCAAAGCGGUGUAGUGUUCAGCCUCAAGAACCACCGUGCAUCCCUGGGAUGGUGCCCUCUACAGGAGGAUCUUUGCCUCACUUUUGGGAAUCUCUUAACUGCAUCUCGUUGAUUCUUAGGGUUAGAAGAAUUGCACUAACAGGAGUCUGCAACCUCUCUGCCCUGCUGAUGCACCCAGGCAGGGCUCACUGAUUUGCAGGAGUACAUGACCACAGAUCAGAGCCACUGCAGGCUGCACAGAUACCUGACUGGGCGCUCAGGAAGACUCAGGCAGAGAUGGGGAGUCGGCCUGCAAGCUGGGAUGCUAGAGCUCAUAUGCAGUUCUCCAUUUAGCUAGGAGGUUUCCAGGGCAACCACUGAAGCAGUAAUUAAAGAUCAAGAGCUAAAAGGUAUGUACUUAGAAAUCUGAAUCCUGAAACAAGGUGGUCGGCAGGCUGGUGUCACAGUGUGCACUCUUCUUCACUUAACAUUAAGUAAAUAACUUUUUAAAAUAAAAUUUUAAAAACCCCUAAUUUAAUUAGAGGAUACACACUAAAUUAGGAUGUGCAUGCUAUGCUUUUAUUUUUAUCUUUUCACACAUGCACAUGUAUUUUUGUAUACACACACACACACACACACACAUAUAUAUUUUUAUACGUCCACCAGCCAGUCAUGGGACCAGGCAUUGGAAUACCGGGCUUAAGGUGUCUUUUGGGUUCCUAUUUUGAGCGUCCCAACGUAUAUAUUUUUUAAGGCAUGCAAAUGAGCAACUACAGAGGCGUCUAUAGUACUUAUGUGUAGCAGGUACAUCCAAGGCUCUCCAGGCAGUUCACGGGUGGAUACACAGCCUGACAAGGUGAUCACCAUUCCUCCAUUCUUUCCUUGAGCGAACUGUACCCAGAGAUGUAAAGUGUUUGCCCUGGGUUAUGAACCUUGUUUGCCUGAUAGUUCAGUGCAUCAGUGCAGUAACAGGGCUGUUGAGGGAGAGUUCCACCAAAGCAGUGGCGCCAUUGAGAAGGUAGAAAACAGAGCUGUAAUGGAAGCUUCAGAAGAUGACGAGUCUAUUCCCAGGAAUAUGGGUAAAGUUUGCCCAUGCAAAUGCUGCAUUUCACGGGUUUAAAGCAGUUAGGGACCCUGGAAGAUGGGAGAUAUUUACAAAAAGCAAAGCCCCGAUCUCUACACCUUCAAAGAAAAGAUGCAGAAAUCUCCACUUUUUCAGACCAGUACUUAUUUCACUUAUGCACAGGUAUGUGGCUGAAGCUGUAGGUAGGUAGCAUGGGAGACUUUGGUAAGUGUAGGCUCUAGGAUUUUCCCUGUAGCAAAAGUAAGGAAUCUGUAA
This 1649-nucleotide long non-coding RNA is filed under the name Mus pahari (shrew mouse). RNAcentral describes it as "lncRNA (MGP_PahariEiJ_G0004987.1)". The record is from RNAcentral. Lineage: Eukaryota; Metazoa; Chordata; Mammalia; Rodentia; Muridae.